Molecule: non-coding RNA, 26 nt
Filed under: Rattus norvegicus (Norway rat)
Lineage: Eukaryota; Metazoa; Chordata; Mammalia; Rodentia; Muridae
Source: RNAcentral
CUUUGAUAAAUGCCAUUUCUUGGUUA